CGAGUAAGCCAGACAAUCGCUGCUGACGACAGUCAGGAGAGGAAAGUCCGAGCUCCGCAGGGCAGGGUGCUGGAUAACGUCCAGUCGAGGCGACCCGAAGGAAAGUGCAACAGAGAUAUACCGCCAGAAUUCUUUUUAGAAUGAGUAUGAUAUUUAUAUCAUCUGGUAAGGGUGGAAAGGCGAGGUAAGAGCUCACCAGCGUGAUGGCGACUUCACGGCUCUGUAAACCCCACCUGGAGCAAGAUCGAAUAGAGAGGCAUUAUGGGAUUGCCCGUCCCGCCUCUGGGUGUAUCGCUGGAGCCCAUCGGCAACGUUGGGCCUAGAUAGAUGAUUGUCAAAUACAGAACUCGGCUUAUAGACUUAUCUCGCACA
RNAcentral lists this RNase P RNA (372 nucleotides) under Clostridium yunnanense. RNAcentral describes it as "Clostridium sp. YIM B02505 RNase P RNA component class A". It matches the Rfam family "Bacterial RNase P class A". From Rfam's summary of the family: Ribonuclease P (RNase P) is a ubiquitous endoribonuclease, found in archaea, bacteria and eukarya as well as chloroplasts and mitochondria. The record is from RNAcentral. Lineage: Bacteria; Bacillati; Bacillota; Clostridia; Eubacteriales; Clostridiaceae.